RNAcentral lists this ribosomal RNA (253 nucleotides) under uncultured bacterium. RNAcentral describes it as "partial 16S ribosomal RNA". It matches the Rfam family "Bacterial small subunit ribosomal RNA", at positions 524 to 776 of the family's 1533-position model. The record is from RNAcentral.
GACGUAGGGGGCAAGCGUUGUUCGGAAUUAUUGGGCGUAAAGAGCUCGUAGGCGGUUCGUCACGUCGGCUGUGAAAACCUGAGGCUCAACCUCAGGCCUGCAGUCGAUACGGGCGGACUUGAGUACUGCAGGGGAGACUGGAAUUCCUGGUGUAGCGGUGAAAUGCGCAGAUAUCAGGAGGAACACCGGUGGCGAAGGCGGGUCUCUGGGCCGUAACUGACGCUGAGGAGCGAAAGCGUGGGGAGCGAACAGG